This 406-nucleotide ribosomal RNA is filed under the name uncultured bacterium. RNAcentral describes it as "partial 16S ribosomal RNA". It matches the Rfam family "Bacterial small subunit ribosomal RNA", at positions 30 to 526 of the family's 1533-position model. The record is from RNAcentral.
AUUGAACGCUGGCGGCAGGCUUAACACAUGCAAGUCGAACGAGUGGCGGACGGGUGAGUAAUGUCUGGGAACCUGCCUUAUGGAGGGGGAUAACUACUGGAAACAGUAGCUAAUACCGCAUACCAUCGGAUGAGCCCAGAUGGGAUUAGCUAGUUGGUGGGGUAAAGGCUCACCAAGGCGACGAUCCCUAGCUGGUCUGAGAGGAGGACCAGCCACACUGGGAAUGAGACACGGCCCAGACUCCUACGGGAGGCAGCAGUGGGGAAUAUUGCACAAUGGGGGCAACCCUGAUGCAGCCAUGCCGCGUGUAUGAAGAAGGCCUUCGGGUUGUAAAGUACUUUCGGGAGGGAGGCGGUACCUACAGAAGAAGCACCGGCUAACUCCGUGCCAGCAGCCGCGGUAAUAC